This is a non-coding RNA of Pelobates cultripes (western spadefoot toad), 316 nucleotides long. The record is from the annotation of a GenBank genome assembly. NCBI's taxonomy places the organism in Eukaryota, Metazoa, Chordata, Amphibia, Anura, Pelobatidae.
CGUUCUUUACCAGUGUUGGGCAGUGUUUGUUAUGCAUGUUUGGUUUGAAAUCUUAGCGAUUACUGACUCUUGUGGGUUUUCAUUUGGCAUGUCAUUUUCUGGAUCUGUGUGCAGAUUAGUGGCGUGGGUGUGCUUUGGUUUUUCGAGUGGUUUGUAACCUGGGUUAAGGUUAGGUAGGGGAGGAACAUGAGUCUCAGUGAGAGCUCAACUAUAUACAAUAUGGCCCAGAUGUUGGGCUUGGUACCCCUUGUUGGUACCGUGGGGGUGGUGAGCAUGCGUGUAUUGGAAAGACAUAGCCAAACUCAUUACAGACAGU